RNAcentral lists this ribosomal RNA (446 nucleotides) under uncultured bacterium. Its description in RNAcentral is "partial 16S ribosomal RNA". It matches the Rfam family "Bacterial small subunit ribosomal RNA", at positions 331 to 794 of the family's 1533-position model. The record is from RNAcentral.
CCAGACUCCUACGGGAGGCAGCAGUGGGGAAUAUUGGACAAUGGGGGAAACCCUGAUGCAGCGACGCCGCGUGAAGGAUGAAGUAUUUCGGUAUGUAAACUUCUAUCAGCAGGGAAGAAAAUGACGGUACCUGACUAAGAAGCCCCGGCUAACUACGUGCCAGCAGCCGCGGUAAUACGUAGGGGGCAAGCGUUAUCCGGAUUUACUGGGUGUAAAGGGGGCGCAGACGGCAGUGCAAGUCUGGAGUGAAAGCCCGGGGCCCAACCCCGGGACUGCUCUGGAAACUGCGGCGCUGGAGUACGGGAGGGGCAGGCGGAAUUCCUGGUGUAGCGGUGAAAUGCGUAGAUAUUAGGAGGAACACCAGUGGCGAAGGCGGCUUGCUGGACGAUGACUGACGUUGAGGCUCGAAAGCGUGGGGAGCAAACAGGAUUAGAUACCCGCGUACC